AGGUAUUAAAACAUUUUCAAAUCAGUUCAUGCGAGUUCAGUGGUUCAAUAUUAAUAUUAUAAAGCGACGAGAUAGCGACUUUUAGAAACUCAAAAUAGUGACUUUUCAACAAUAUAGUGAUUUCAAAACACUGCUUCUGAGAUUCACUGAGCCACUGGAUUUAAUCAAAACAUCUUAAUUUGUGUUCUGAAGAUGAACGAAGGUCUUAUGGGAGUAGAAUGACAUGAGGGUGAGUAAUAAAUUACAUUAUUUUCAUUUUUUGGCUGAACUAACCCUUUAAUCUCAAUAAAUCACUUACUUUUCAAUUCUGCCUUUAAGGGACAACGUUACUUUAGGAUUUUAUACCCGUUUACCUUGAGGAGUUUAGUGCGUGAGUACUGUACUGUCCUCCCUUGAGAAGUCAGACGGCGGGAGUGGAAGGGAGAUCGAGUGGGCGGGAUUGUGUGUUGCUGUCGCUCUAUAGUCUCUUAAUAAUAGGCCUCAAGAAUUUGUCAAUAGUCCCCUCUUGGUAUUUCAGAAAAUUAACUCAGCACUAUGAUUGGUUUAACUCUUGCUUUUACUUGGAGUACUACGCGUGCACAGAGCCAGGUUUCUGUGUAGUUUAGAAUAACAACGUACUUCGAGAUCAAAAUGCUUACCCUCUACGCAAAAUGCGUACAGGCUGACAGAUCUGCAGCAGAAACUGUAAAGUGACUAUUGUAGAGUAAUCAAAAUAGACAUUAAAAUUAGUCUGCGCUUUUAUUCCCAUUUUUGUUAAGAUAAUUUAACUUCUGCUUUAAAAACAUUUUUAUAUUGUAAAGUUACAAUGUUAGAAUGGCUUUAAAUAUUAAAAUUUUAUAAGCAGUAAUACAUCACACCACUUUUUAAAUUUAACCUCCCCCCAGCCGUCAGUGCUUUGUAUAAACUUCUAUCACAGCACUUAGAUUAGGGUAAAAAAAAAAAACACUUGAAAUGAGCGUUCUUUGAACAAGAUAUAUUAGCCUUUAAAUCCAAUAAGUGAAUAUUAACUUCACAAACGAAAUGCUCUUAAUUAUGAAAAUGUUAAACCAAAUGUAAAUCAAGCAUUUACAGAAUAUAAAGGUAACAUUACAAUAUGCACGUGUUUUUCGCCAAAAAAAAAAAAAAGGCUUAAUUUACAAGCCAAUUUACCUGCUAAACUAAAAUAUCCAUAUUAAAAUUAAAUGUUUAAAAAAAACAAACAAAAAAACACUUGAAAUGAACAAGAUUAGCUUUUAAAUCCAAUAAAAGGGAAAAACAAAAUGCCCCUAAUUAUGAAAAUGUUAAAACACUAGAUGUAAAUCAGGCAUUGCAAAAAAAGGCUCCAUUUACAAGCCAUUUUACCUGCUAAACUCAAAAAGCUACCUAAAAUAUCCAUAUUAACAUUAUAUAAAUGUUAAAGCAAUAGAAUUAAAAGUAUACAUUUAAAAAAAAAAAAAAAAACCCUUACAUGAGCAGAUUGGGUUAAUUCACAAAAAAAAAAAAAAAAAAAGAAAAGUCAUAAACUACUAACCUGCAUUUCGUUAUAAAUAGUAAAGCCAUAAAUGAUUAACAUGAAAUAUGAAUAUUGACCAUUUUGGAUCCACCAGUCAUCAAGUACUCACCCUCAUGUCAGCCGAAACCCAUAAGACGUUCGUUCAUCUUCAGAACACAAAUUAAGAUAUUGUUGAUGAAAUCCAAUGGUUUCUGAACCACACAUAGGCAGCAACAUCAUUGCACCUUUUGAUGUCUGUGCAGAAAGGUAGUCAAGACAUUGUUAAAAUAGUCAACCUGACUACAGUGGUUCAACCUUAAUGUUAUGAAGCGAUGAGAAUACUUUUAGUGCGCAAAACAAAAAUAAAAACAGUAGUAUUGGCUGAAGCUGUACACGUGAGCACAACGAUGGAUGCGUGUGAUGCUGACACAGGAUUCGGCCAAUACUGAGCUGGUGUUCGGACGUAAACAUGGAAGACUGCACUACAUCAACUCUGUAUGACAACAGUUCAAAUUGUUAAAUAAAGUCACUAUUUUUGUUUUGGUUUUGCACACAAAAAGUAUUCUUGUCCCUUCAUAACAUUGAGGUUGAACCACUGUAGUCAUACUGACUACAGAAUAGGGAUGUCACGAUUUUCGAAUAUUCAAUUCGUUGAUUUAAUUAUAGAAUAUCGAAUAGGUUGUGCGAUUUUCGUCUUUAAAAAAUCCUCACGUUUUCAAUGGUGACACGUUCAUGUAAACAGAGGGUGGCGCGCGCUGCCAAUAACGCACCUACAAGCCGUCAAUCACGCUGUCUCACACACAAACUGUAGACUAGCGUGGCAUGUAACAGAGACGUUAAAAUCAAUGUUCACACAAGUGCCGUCAUUCAGGCCGUUCACAAUGUUAUAACGCGCUUAGGCAGCCUAAAAUCAUUAUGGCUUGAGGUAGGCUUGCUGCGACAGUCGGUGUUGUCCCGCGGCACCGCCUCCACUGUCAUUUUGAUUUUUUUAUAGUAAUAAAAGAGACACUUCAAUUACAAACUGAACACGUCUGCUCAAUUCAGCGUGAGCCAAACGAGAGUCGCAGCACAGAUCAGCAGAAGGAGUCAGAUUUCGCCUCACUCUUGAAUAACAAGACUACGGCGGUAGAUUUGGUUUCAAAGCGAAAUGUAAAAGUGCCCAUUUAAGUGAGUUUGUCAUUGUACUGUUUUGUUGUUGUGUUUUUCAUUAAGAAUAAUAAUGACGCUAAUUUGAAAGUGAAAGUAAAAUCCCCACGGUCAUUCAUAAUGGUGCGCGAACACUGGCGCAGAGCGAGCGUUUUCAGUUAACGUAAUUCCUAUGGAAGCUCAAAAUAGGAAUUAAUUAAAAACGUUAACAAAGUAAAAAAAACAAAGUACUUACAGAUGUAAAUUUCAUUUUUUGGUGAAGUAACCCUUUAAAGAGGAAAAGAUGAUCACAUUCUCUCACACUUGAAAUGUGGCGCCUGUAAAGAGAUCUGUCAUGCCACAUCAAGAAGCGUAAAAAUUAAAGUUUUUGUUUGAAUUUCGAGAAUAAAAUGGACAGGGGUACGUACGUUCAGUACGCAAUGAGAGUAUCACGGUACGUACCGUACCCUAGACCAGACCAAAGCUGCAGGGGGUGCCAGGAAUAAAUCACACUCAAAUAUGGACUACAACAAACAACAUCCCCAGUGUGAAAACUACAUUAGAGUCCUUAAUGUACUCAAAAGAACACUGAUUUACUGACUGGAGAUUGUUGGUAAUGCCAGUGUAAUAAUGAAUAAAUGAACCAUACUGUUAUUAUAAGAAGUGAACCAAAAUCUGUGUUAUGCUUUUCUGUUAAAAUUUUAGUGUUUGUUUACUUGUGUUCGUAACAAGCAAAUCUUACCUGCUCCACCUUUCUCAGCGACAUUGGGCAUCUCUCAGGCAGACCAUCACGGAGCCGGCUAUGGUGUUGAUCCACCUAACACACAAGAGCACACCUUUUCUGUCCUGAGACCCUCAGGUGACCACCAAGGAAGAGAACAGACUACUUCUGGCGUGAGACGGGAAAAUCCAGUCUUGAGUCUUGUACCAAAUCAAUGUACAUGUAAGUUAUUUAUCAACUUCACUGGUCCAGUCUCUAGUGGGAAACAGGCGCUUUUUACCCCCAGUGGCAGUGCAAAAUGAUGAAGAGGAUGGCAUCUUUCCUCUUGCAUCCACUGAGGAUCUAGACCGGCUGGAGCAAAGUCUGUCAGACAGAGGGUUUCUGCAGAGAAUGGUGAACAGAUUAUCCAUCAGCGGCGGGCCGACAAUGAAGAAGACCGUCUGGAGAAUCUGCUCCAAGGUCUUCAGCACUAAUGUCGCCCGCCAACUGAACUGGUGUGGGAGAGGAGACCAGCGGGGGAUCAGAAAGACAAACAUCGGGUCACUGUUAACAGCUUCAGCCAUGAGGAAUCCCGUCCUGCCGUCUCCAACGGAAGCAGAGGCGGAGAAAUAUAUCAAAGAUUUCCAACGCUUGACUCCAGGGAGGGUGUAAUUGUUUAUUUAAAUUAAAUGUAUGUUAUUAAAGUGUAUUGUUUUGUUAAAAUAUAUGUUAUGGAGUUGUGUUAAUAUGGAUUUUUUUUUUAAUUA
Long non-coding RNA from Ctenopharyngodon idella (grass carp), 4063 nucleotides. RefSeq lists it as uncharacterized. The transcript has 5 exons. NCBI's taxonomy places the organism in Eukaryota, Metazoa, Chordata, Actinopteri, Cypriniformes, Xenocyprididae. The record is from RefSeq and is a predicted model, not a curated record.